CAAAAUAAAUCGAGCCAGGAGCAAAAUGCCGACAGCUUGGAAGAGAUAUCUUUGGGUUAAGAAAUUGUUCGUUGUUUUCAUCUGUUGGAUGAACAAAACUUCAGGUAUCAACUUCUACUGUUCCGGAGGCCUUCGCGACCAGACGAAUAUUUACGGAAAUGGAGGAAAGCAGAGAUUUCAUUUCGUCAAAGCUGGAUCAUCCGGCUUCGUAAACCCAGUGGACAUAGCAUGGACAUUUCCCGGUAAGCUUGUGGAUAGUAACAAAAAACGACGACAAAAAGGAACAUCUCAAGGAACGUCCCCCAACUCUCUGGCAUGUGUGUUCUGGGGGCUGUGCAAUUAUUAUCUUUGAAGCUUUAAUAAAUUAUCCUAAAUCUGCCAAAAAA
Culex quinquefasciatus (southern house mosquito) is the source of this 386-nucleotide long non-coding RNA. RefSeq lists it as uncharacterized. The transcript is spliced from 2 exons. The record is from RefSeq and is a predicted model, not a curated record. Lineage: Eukaryota; Metazoa; Arthropoda; Insecta; Diptera; Culicidae.